This 495-nucleotide ribosomal RNA is filed under the name uncultured bacterium. RNAcentral describes it as "partial 16S ribosomal RNA". It matches the Rfam family "Bacterial small subunit ribosomal RNA", at positions 28 to 523 of the family's 1533-position model. The record is from RNAcentral.
GAUGAACGCUGGCGGCGUGCUUAACACAUGCAAGUCGAGCGAAGCACUUAAGUUUGAUUCUUCGGAUGAGGACUUUUGUGACUGAGCGGCGGACGGGUGAGUAACGCGUGGGUAACCUGCCUCAUACAGGGGGAUAGCAGUUAGAAAUGGCUGCUAAUACCGCAUAAGACCACAGUACUGCAUGGUACAGUGGUAAAAACUCCGGUGGUAUGAGAUGGACACGCGUCUGAUUAGGUAGUUGGUGAGGUAACGGCCCACCAAGCCGACUAUCAGUAGCCGACCUGAGAGGGUGACCGGCCACAGUGGGACUGAGACACGGCCCAGACUCCUACGGGAGGCAGCAGUGGGGAAUAUUGCACAAUGGGGGAAACCCUGAUGCAGCGACGCCGCGUGAGCGAUGAAGUAUUUCGGUAUGUAAAGCUCUAUCAGCAGGGAAGAAAAUGACGGGACCUGACUAAGAAGCACCGGCUAAAUACGUGCCAGCCGCCGCCGUAA